RNAcentral lists this long non-coding RNA (4804 nucleotides) under Nicotiana tabacum (common tobacco). RNAcentral's name for it is "long non-coding RNA (NTAB_LNC001863)". The record is from RNAcentral. Lineage: Eukaryota; Viridiplantae; Streptophyta; Magnoliopsida; Solanales; Solanaceae.
CAAAAUCUAGUGUCACAAGUAUGUGGGUAUCUAAUAGAAUAUACAAAAGAAUACUAGUCUACUGUCUGAAAGGAAAAAGACAGAAAAUAUAAUAUAAAGAAGACUCCAGUUGCUGCAAGAUGGCUCAGAAGGCAGCUCACCGUAAAGUCUCGGAAGGGGAAUCAAAUCUACACACCGGAAUGGUGACCAGAUGCACCUGCCUCAAAUCAUGUACAGAAGUUUAGCGUGAGUACAUAAAAAUAUGUACCCAGUAAGAGUCUAGUCUAACCUCGAAGAAGUAGUGACAAGGGGUCAACUCCGACACUUACCAGGGCCAACAAUAUAACAAUAUGAAAUUUCUAAUUAAGCAUAAUAUAUAGAGAAAAUAGUAAACUCAGAACAGGAAAAAUAACUGAACACUUCUAAUCAACAGCACAAUAAAACACUUCCUUUAUUUAAAACAAGUGAUCCCUCAAACAACAAAUUUAUACAAGUUAUAAUUAGUUUCCAGUUCUAGUAUGACAUACGAAUACCACCGAGGAUGUUCUGCCCGAUCCAACAUAAAUAUAAACUGUGCACUGCUGAGGGUCGAAUGACGUGAACCAUAGAUGCAUUUAUUCAUUCCACUCGCAAAUCAUACAUGCGACGUGGUCAAAUAUAAAUUUAAGGAAUUACCCCGCUCGCGGAUCAUACGUGCGAUGCGGUCAAAUGUAAAUUAAAUCAUAACUCUUUCUUGAUUCUUUUUUUAAAAUAAAGGCAAUUCAACUUGAAGCUUUCAAAUCCUUAGAAAAUUCUCAACUUAAUUCCAUUUGUUACAAUUAGCAAGUAUAAUCAAGUAACGGUAUCCACAAAGUAUGGUGUAAACCUAAAACUACCCGUACAUAACAGGAAUAGUAGUUAUGAAUAGACUCUCAUCACUUCGUGCGUUCGUAGCCCCCAUAAAUAAUUACAUAUUAAUUAAGUUCACCUUUAGGGAAAUUUCCCUCUUACAAGGUUAGAAAAGAGACUUUCCUUGUCUCAAAGCCUACUUCCCAAUUCAAGAAUGCGCUCCAACCUCCAAAGUCGAUGCCAAACGACUCGAAACUAGUCAAACAUUGCAUAAACUAAUCAAUUUAUGCUCAAAAGUUCAUAUUUCCACUAUUGAAGUGAUUACCCAACCCAAAUUGCAAAAUUCCAAAAAUUCACCCUGGGCCCACGUGUCCGGAUUUCGGAAAUUUUCGAAGGAAGUUGUUACCCUUAACCCUAGGAACCUAAAUAUAUGAUUUUUACUAAGUUCCAUAACCCUUUUUGUGGUAAAACUCAAUUUUUAUCAAAAUCCUAGAUUUUUCUCUAAACCCAUGAUUUUCACUAAUGCUUACAUGUUAAUCUACCCAUAAUCUAAGUAUUUAACUUACAUAUGGUAGAAAUUACUUACCUCUAAAAUCUAGGUAAAAAUACCCUUUUUGAGAGCUCUCCAAUUGCCCAAGUGUGGAAGAAAAUAAGUCAAAAACGCCUAACUCCCGUAUUAAAUGAAGUGCACUGCCCCAACGAUUUUUGCACAUGAGAUGCGUUGGCCGCAUCUGCGGGUCCCGCUUCUGCGGACGAGGGUCCGCUUCUGCAUAAUUGGCUGGGCCGGCUGGGGUCACUUUCACACCUCCUUUUUACACACCCGAGGGUAUAUAGGGGAGUUUUUCCAAUGUAAGUGACAUUAUUCGAAAUGAGAUUAUUUACUUAUCAGAGUCGCUACUUGGGAUAGUUUAAUUAGUGUCCCAAGUUACCAGUUUAUUUUAAAAUUCCAAAUCAAUGAAAUUCGACUUUUAUUUUUAAAAUAUGCGAACCAGAAAUUCUAAGUAAAGAAUUCUGUUAACCCCGGAGAAGGUGGUAGGCAUUCUCGGGUUUGUGGUUCUAGCACGAUCACUCAAACUAUUAUAAUUGGCCUAUUACCUGAUUUUAAUACAUGUUUUAACCUAUGGUACAAUUUUUAACUUAUUAACCGCUUUUAAUUAUUUUUAGGAAGAUCCAAUGUUAUUUAAAACACGCCUUGAAUCACGCCACAUGAAAUGCACCCGCGGUCCACGACACAUUUUAUUUAACGUUGUUGAGAAUUGAAAUUGGGUCACAUGAAAUGCACAUCCGGACUUAAUAAAUAAAGGAAAAAUCAAUUUAAGAACGUGCCUAAAGAAACUACGAAAUUUCAAAUUAAUAACAAGGUUUGCGAGGGCCAUGAAAAUUUAAUUGAUGGUACACCUCAAUUUUUAAAGAGUUGGUAAUAAUUAUCUGAGGGUCAUGGGUUAUCUAAUUUUUGCUUAUGCCACACCUCAAGUCUAAUUGUUCGGACGAAUUCUUAGUUUAGAAUUAUAAGGGCCAUAAACUAUUGGUGUUAUUUAAUAUGGCACACCUCAACCUAAGUAAAAGAAUUAUCUUAAAACAACGUAAUUGAAACUAUUGUUUGUACAACUACUAGUUACCUGGGAGUGUUGGGCUUCUGGGCUAAAUUCAGCCCAAGAGGAUGAACGGGUAGGGAAGUCCAGAUUAUUGAGUCCUUUCACCGACUGGGCUAGCAUUAGGCCCAACUCUCAGAACAAAAUUUAUACAAAGUCAUUUAAACACAUAUCAACUAAGGGUUUAUGAGAUCUGAAAUUGAAUUAACAUUUUAAAGAUUAAUUUAUGUUAAAAUCCUUUUCUUGUUGAACCAAGCAAACUCUCUUAAGAGAAUGAGCAUAUACUGAAGGCCAUGGGGCCCCAGGUCGAGCUCUCGAUAGAGCCAAACCUUAUGGCUAUGGACUGAUUUCUCGGGGCCUCACGUUAAGCCCAACAGUCCUUGAAACUUUGAACUUUAGCACAUAUUGGGAAAAACAGUAGCAUGUGGAGCAUUAAACACUUAACUAUUGAAACUACACAACCUGCCUUUAAUAAAAAUACAAAAGCAUGUUUCUUCUCGUUUUCAAAACAAAACAGAACCCUUCAUGUUCAAAGAACACACAAACCAUAUGUAUUUAAAAAUCAGAACUACUACUAAUCAUCGUUGAACUCACACACUUAGUGAAUCUAACAGUAGAGUAUUCUAACCAUUCAAAUUAGAUAUCAAAAAUGCAACAGCAUGUUACUGAAUUUGUUCAUCUACCAAACCAACAUCUAAAAGAGGUAAAAACCACAAACUAAUUAACUGUAACCUUGUAGUAACUAACAGCUUGAACCAAUACGAUCAAAACCCUAACAAAGGGAGUCUUUCAUCUCACCAAGGACUAUCUUAUGACAGUCCACACCAAACACAUGACAGAAAGAUUCAAUCCCCAAAUAAAAUCAAAAUGACAAAACCUAAAGUCUAGAUACAAACUGAAUACACAUUUUAAUAUUCAUGGCAUAAGUAAAUACAAUGAAUGAUGUAAUGAAACAUAAACUGAUGCAUAACUAAGACAAGUUUAGUAAUACACAUAGGUAUUCAGCCAGACUAAGAUCUACAUCUCCAACAAUGCUUGAGAUUCAAACUUCAUAUAUUGAUAAAAGGUCCAAAGAGGUACCUGGUUACAGCAACAAAAUAACAAAAAAAUGAGCUUGAGAUUAAGAAAAGGACAGCAACAGUGUAUCAGCAAACAGCAGCACAACCCACAGUCAGUUUUAUACCAUUUUUGAACCCAGAUUAACAUAAUUCUUUCGCGUUAUCAAUAGAAUCUGACUAACAGAGUAAGUCUAAGAGCCAAACCAAACAAAUUUCAAGCAAACUUCAAUAUUUUCAGAAUCUCAAAAAUGCUCCAGCCAUUUCUAAGUUUUUCAACCUUUUUAAUCUCUAAUCUCUCAAAUGAAAGAGAAGGGCAACGAGCCUCUUAUAUAGGACCUCUAGGGGAGCAGAAAUGAUUCUAUUAUUUUCCAAUUGCCCCUUUCCCAAUUUUCAUUUUUUAAGUUAAAUCCCUGAAUUUUUAGCCUGCUUGCUAAGUUAAUCCCAAAUCCCACCUUCCAGGUAGCUUCCUAAUCAGUUAUACAAGAUUCCCCUAAACUAAAAACCCUAAACUAUCCUUUAGGCUUAUGCUAUUUACAUUCAAGACCACAUAUGGAUCGGGUUGACCCCAAGACCCAAAGCCUGGCUUGCAAGACCCGGACUGACCCUCCUCUUUGGGCCUCUAUUGACAGAGCCCAAAUUGAUUCCAGAAACCAACAAAAACCCAAGGAAAUGGCCAAUCAGAGUUAUAUGAACUCCUAGAACCAAGGAUUCCAAAUAAAUCAAAAAUAGGAGGGAAACUUGAGCGAAACCAAACGAUGCUGACUAAAAGAAAAAUAAUCUAAAAUUAACAAGCAUGAUUUGAGAAACAGAAAAAUAAGAAAGAAAAAGGAAAGAAUCAGACGAAGCUGAGAAUGAAAUUCAAACAAAAAACAAAGGACCUGAAAUACCUGAAAGAGACAGAAAGAUGAUGGGUUUGAGCGGACUAUUCGGCGCUUUCGAUUUGAACCAAAAAUGAGUGUUAGUCGGGAUGUUCUGGUGAGAACAACCAUCUAACACUUGUUUCAAGUCAAAAUCUCUUCCACGCUUUGGAGAAAAUCAAACCAGGCCUUUUGCAUGAGGAAUCAAAGGUGGGAACGAAUCUAGGGUGCCAUUUAAGAUCUGAAAUUGGAGAAAAAAUAGAGGGGACUUUGGGGAAAUUGACGGUGGUUUAGUGUUUGAGGGAUUAUGGGGACUGUGUGGUGACGUUUUGGGAGGAUUUAGAGGUCAAACGCCAGUGGGGAAUGGCAGAAUUUGGAGGCGGCGUUAGGGCUUGGACGAAGGAGGUAAGAGAGACAGAAGAGGGGUGUUUGGCUUAAGUUGUCUUUAGGGCUUUCGGACAGUUAUAAGCAAAUAUGGGGUAAGUGGUCU